Molecule: ribosomal RNA, 318 nt
Filed under: uncultured bacterium
Lineage: Bacteria
Description: bacterial SSU rRNA
Rfam family: Bacterial small subunit ribosomal RNA
Source: RNAcentral
GACGAACGCUUGCGGCGUGCCUAAGAAAUGCAAGUCGAGCGGGGGAGCAAUCCCUAGCGGCGAACGGUCGCGUAACACGUAAGCAACCUGCCCGAAAGACCGGGACAACAGCUCGAAAGGGCUGCUAAUACCGGAUGUGUCCACUUUGCCUCAUGGCUUGGUGAGUAAAUCAUUUAUGGCUUUCGGAGGGGCUUGCGGCCUAUCAGCUAGAUGGCGGUGUAACGGACCCCACNGGCGACGACGGGUAGCUGGUCUGAGAGGAUGGUCAGCCGGACUGGGACUGAGACACGGCCCAGACUCCUACGGGAGGCAGCGAGU